RNAcentral lists this ribosomal RNA (134 nucleotides) under uncultured eukaryote. RNAcentral describes it as "partial small subunit ribosomal RNA". It matches the Rfam family "Eukaryotic small subunit ribosomal RNA", at positions 1651 to 1782 of the family's 1831-position model. The record is from RNAcentral.
CCCUGCCAUUUGUACACACCGCCCGUCGCACCUACCGAUUGAAUGGUCCGGUGAAAUCUUCGGACCGUGACUUUGUCUUGUUCACUCAAGACGCUGUUACGGGAAGUUGAUUAAACCUUACCAUUUAGAGGAAG